AGUGAACGCUGGCGGCAGGCCUAACACAUGCAAGUCGAGCGGCAGCGGGUCCGUCGGGAUGCCGGCGAGCGGCGGACGGGUGAGGAAUACAUCGGAAUCUGCCCUGUCGUGGGGGAUAACCUAGGGAAACUUAGGCUAAUACCGCAUACGACCUACGGGUGAAAGCGGGGGAUCGCAAGACCUCGCGCGACAGGAUGAGCCGAUGUCCGAUUAGCUAGUUGGCGGGGUAAAGGCCCACCAAGGCGACGAUCGGUAGCUGGUCUGAGAGGAUGAUCAGCCACACUGGGACUGAGACGCGGCCCAGACUCCUACGGGAGGCAGCAGUGGGGAAUAUUGGACAAUGGGCGCAAGCCUGAUCCAGCCAUGCCGCGUGGGUGAAGAAGGCCUUCGGGUUGUAAAGCCCUUUUGUCCGGGAAGAAAUCGUCUAGGCUAAUACCCCGGGCGGAUGACGGUACCGGAAGAAUAAGCACCGGCUAACUUCGUG
RNAcentral lists this ribosomal RNA (484 nucleotides) under uncultured bacterium. RNAcentral describes it as "partial 16S ribosomal RNA". It matches the Rfam family "Bacterial small subunit ribosomal RNA", at positions 30 to 507 of the family's 1533-position model. The record is from RNAcentral.